Molecule: non-coding RNA, 21 nt
Filed under: Caenorhabditis elegans
Lineage: Eukaryota; Metazoa; Nematoda; Chromadorea; Rhabditida; Rhabditidae
Source: RNAcentral
UUGUAAUGGUAAAUAUCAGUA